This 519-nucleotide ribosomal RNA is filed under the name uncultured bacterium. RNAcentral describes it as "bacterial SSU rRNA". It matches the Rfam family "Bacterial small subunit ribosomal RNA", at positions 29 to 518 of the family's 1533-position model. The record is from RNAcentral.
ACGAACGCUGGCGGCGUGCCUAAUACAUGCAAGUCGAACGGUCUUUCUAUGGAAGCUUGCUUCCACUGAGAAGAUAGUGGCGGACGGGUGAGGUAACACGUGGGGUAACCUGCCCAUAAGAGGGGGAUAACAUCCGGAAACGGGUGCUAAUACCGCAUAGUUUUCUUGAUCGCAUGAUCGGGAAAGGAAAGACGGCCUUUGUGCUGUCGCUUAUGGAUGGACCCGCGGCGUAUUAGUUAGUUGGUGAGGUAAUGGCUCACCAAGACGAUGAUACGUAGCCGACCUGAGAGGGUGAUCGGCCACAUUGGGACUGAGACACGGCCCAAACUCCUACGGGAGGCAGCAGUAGGGAAUCUUCCGCAAUGGACGAAAGUCUGACGGAGCAACGCCGCGUGAGUGAAGAAAAGGUUUUCGGAUCGUAAAACUCUGUCGUCAGAGAAGAACAAGUUGGAGAGUAACUGCUCCAGCCUUGACGGUAUCUGACCAGAAAGCCACGGCUAACUACGUGCCAGCCGCCGC